This 336-nucleotide ribosomal RNA is filed under the name Triticum aestivum (bread wheat). RNAcentral's name for it is "partial small subunit ribosomal RNA". Lineage: Eukaryota; Viridiplantae; Streptophyta; Magnoliopsida; Poales; Poaceae. The record is from RNAcentral.
AUGAAAAAGAAUAAAAGCCCUGGACCAGAUGGAUUUCCUGCUGAUUUUUACCAGGAGUUCUAGAAUCUGGUUAAAUGGGGCCUUAAAGUCUUGAUACAAGAGUUUGCUAAAGGGAAAGUUGAUAUUUCUAGGCUAAACUAUGGCAUAAUUACAUUAGUGCCGAAAGCUGUUGAUGCUAAACAAAUCCAAAAAUUUAGACCAAUUUGUAUGUUGAAUGUUAGUUUCAAAAUUAUUACUAAAGUGUUGAUGAAUAGACUAACACAAUGUGUGUCCCCUGUCAUAUCUAAAACUCAAACAACAUUUAUCAAGGGAGAUAUAUUAUGGAAGGUGUGGUGA